CUCAAAGUACUUCAUACAAAUGGAAUCAUACAGUAUGCAUCUUUCUGUGCCUGGCUUAUUUUACAUAGCCUAAUAUCCUUAAGUUUCAGCCGUGGUGUAGCAUGUGACAGGAUUUCCUUCCUUUUCAAGGCCGACUAAUAUUCCGCUGCAUCUUGCUGGGCACAGUGGCUCAUGCCUGAAAUCCAAGCACUUCGGGAGCUUGAGAUGAGCAGUCUGUGUUAAAAAAGAAAAAAAAAAAAGAAGGAAAAAGGAUUCAACUUUCUCCCCAGCCAUUUUGCUCUCUCUUCCCCUGCUGCAGCAAUUGUGAAAGCCACGCAUUUAGAUGGUGAAGCCACAAAAUGGAAACAGCCUGGAUCCCUGAGUCACCAGAUGCAGAAACAGCUGCCCUGAAAAGUUGUCCAUCUUGCACUAUACAUGCCCAUGUACGAGAAAUACAAGCCUUUUCUGGCCGGGCGCGGUGGCUCACGCCUGUAAUCCCAGCACUUUGGGAAGCCGAGGCGGGCAGAUCAUUUGA
Molecule: long non-coding RNA, 514 nt
Filed under: Homo sapiens (human)
Lineage: Eukaryota; Metazoa; Chordata; Mammalia; Primates; Hominidae
Description: HSALNT0382314
Source: RNAcentral